ACAGAUGCUGGCCACUUUAUCCUCCGGAGGGCAGGCAACACCACUGGUUAGCCCAGGGGCGGGGCACAGGUUGAGGUCUCACAUGUGGCUGCAUCAGGAUCAAUGAGCUUCCCACAGAAAAAACCCUGGUCACAGGAGGCCUCUGGGAGCCAGGGCAGGCCCUCAGUUUGACCAACUGAAGAAAGAAGUGACCUUGUGCAACUUCAGAGCCAGACCUCAAGAGGCCUUGUAGCUUCUGCUCUGCUUGUUGGAACACAACAAUGUGGGAAGCCCAGGCCAGCCUGCUGGGCACGUGUGGCCCAACCGGCAGCCACGAGCGUGCAGUCAUCUGAGACCACUGGACAACUGCAGCCACAUGAGGUGUGAACAACAGAAGAACUCCCCAGCUGACCCCAGCCCACAGAAUUGAGCAAAUAACAUGGCUUUUGUUUGAAGCA
Molecule: long non-coding RNA, 437 nt
Organism: Pongo pygmaeus (Bornean orangutan)
Lineage: Eukaryota; Metazoa; Chordata; Mammalia; Primates; Hominidae
Exons: 2
Source: RefSeq, a predicted model, not a curated record